RNAcentral lists this ribosomal RNA (440 nucleotides) under uncultured bacterium. Its description in RNAcentral is "partial 16S ribosomal RNA". It matches the Rfam family "Bacterial small subunit ribosomal RNA", at positions 338 to 795 of the family's 1533-position model. The record is from RNAcentral.
CCUACGGGCGGCUGCAGUAGGGAAUAUUGCUCAAUGGGGGAAACCCUGAAGCAGCAACGCCGCGUGGAGGAUGAAUGUUUUCGGAUUGUAAACUCCUUUUGUUAGAGAAGAUAAUGACGGUAUCUAACGAAUAAGCACCGGCUAACUCCGUGCCAGCAGCCGCGGUAAUACGGAGGGUGCAAGCGUUACUCGGAAUCACUGGGCGUAAAGCGCGCGUAGGCGGGAUAGCAAGUCAGAUGUGAAAUCCUAUGGCUUAACCAUAGAACUGCAUUUGAAACUGUUAUUCUAGAGUAUGGGAGAGGUAGGUGGAAUUCUUGGUGUAGGGGUAAAAUCCGUAGAGAUCAAGAGGAAUACUCAUUGCGAAGGCGACCUGCUAGAACAUAACUGACGCUGAUGCGCGAAAGCGUGGGGAGCAAACAGGAUUAGAUACCCUAGUAGUC